Non-coding RNA from Myotis lucifugus (little brown bat), 444 nucleotides. The record is from the annotation of a RefSeq genome assembly. Lineage: Eukaryota; Metazoa; Chordata; Mammalia; Chiroptera; Vespertilionidae.
AUGGCCUGGACGCCUCUGCUCCUCGCGCUCCUCUCUCACUGCACAGGGUCCCUCUCCCAGCCUGUGCUGACUCAGCCGCCCUCCCUCUCUGCAUCUCCGGGAGCCACAGCCAGACUCACCUGCACCCUAAGAAGUGACAUCAAUGUUGGUGGAUACAGGAUAAACUGGCACCAGCAGAAGCCUGGGAGCCCUCUCCGGUACCUCCUGAACUACCACACUGACUCAGAUAAGGGCCAAGGCUCCGGGGUCCCCAGCCGCUUCUCUGGAUCCAAAGACGCCUCGGCCAAUGCGGGGCUCCUGCUCAUCUCGGGGCUGCAGCCUGAGGACGAGGCCGACUAUUACUGUGCGAUCUGGCACAAUAAUGCUCCCACAGGUGUGGGUGGCUGUGGGCCAUGGGGAGCAGAAGCUGUUGAUGAGCCCAGAUCUCAGGUCACCUUCUCCUGA